Molecule: ribosomal RNA, 253 nt
Filed under: uncultured bacterium
Lineage: Bacteria
Description: partial 16S ribosomal RNA
Rfam family: Bacterial small subunit ribosomal RNA
Source: RNAcentral
UACGAGGGGAGCUAGCGUUGUUCGGAAUCACUGGGCGUAAAGCGCACGUAGGCGGAUUUGUCAGUCAGGGGUGAAAUCCCGGGGCUCAACCUCGGAACUGCCUUUGAUACAGCAAGUCUUGAGUUCGAGAGAGGUGGGUGGAAUUCCUAGUGUAGAGGUGAAAUUCGUAGAUAUUAGGAAGAACACCGGUGGCGAAGGCGGCCCACUGGCUCGAUACUGACGCUGAGGUGCGAAAGCGUGGGGAGCAAACAGG